GAUGAAGAACGUAGCGAAAUGCGAUACGUAAUGUGAAUUGCAGAAUUCAGUGAAUCAUCGAGUCUUUGAACGCACAUUGCGCCCCCUGGUAUUCCGGGGGGCAUGCCUGUCCGAGCGUCAUUGCUGCCCUCAAGCACGGCUUGUGUGUUGGGCCCGAAAGGCAGCGGCGGCACCGCGUCCGGUCCUCGAGCGUAUGGGGCUUCGUCACCCGCUCCGUAGGCCCGGCCGGCGCCCGCCGGCGACCCCCCCUCAAUCUUUCCAGGUUGACCUCGGAUCAGGUAGGGAUACCCGCUGAACUUAAGCAUAUCAAUAAGCGGAGGA
Molecule: unclassified non-coding RNA, 321 nt
Filed under: soil metagenome
Description: partial contains 5.8S ribosomal RNA, internal transcribed spacer 2, and large subunit ribosomal RNA
Rfam family: 5.8S ribosomal RNA (bases 1-120)
Source: RNAcentral